CUCUGUGUUUCCAUCCCUCUCUUAGCGGCUAGAAAGUUAGAGGAUGCAACUGGAUUUCCUUCGGGAAAGGAUACGAGAGAAGUUCAAAUAUCAUUCGUAAAACAGAUACUAUUUACGGAAUAGAAGAUUGGAGAUCAACCAAACAAUCUGGGAGAAAAAGAUUUGGAGAUUUGCUUGAGAAUGGGCCAGCUAUUGAAGGUGCUUACCUCCUUGGAAGUCUUUGUGUCUUAUGGACAGGCUCUGACAGGCAUUCAAAAGGUUGCAUACUUGUGUUGCAGAUGGAGAUUUAGUUAAAUUUUGGAACAUUGGUCAUGUAGAAAGGAGUUGAAUCCUUGGAGGUUUUUUUCCCUAUUUUAGUCUUUUAAUGCAAGGAGGCAUUAGUGGCAGAUUAUAAGUCGGCGGCCAACAUGAUUUUGGAUAUUACACUUAGAAGAAUCGACAAGCUGGCAAGAUGCUGAUUUGGGUGCUUCAAAUUUAUAUGGAAUGCCAAGCACGGAGGCGACAUAAAAUACUAAUAGACUAUUCCUAAGCAAG
This 534-nucleotide long non-coding RNA is filed under the name Actinidia chinensis (golden kiwifruit). RNAcentral's name for it is "long non-coding RNA (ACHI_LNC003019)". Lineage: Eukaryota; Viridiplantae; Streptophyta; Magnoliopsida; Ericales; Actinidiaceae. The record is from RNAcentral.